This 404-nucleotide ribosomal RNA is filed under the name Fusobacteriota bacterium. Its description in RNAcentral is "Fusobacteria bacterium partial 16S ribosomal RNA". It matches the Rfam family "Bacterial small subunit ribosomal RNA", at positions 355 to 776 of the family's 1533-position model. Lineage: Bacteria; Fusobacteriati; Fusobacteriota. The record is from RNAcentral.
UGGGGAAUAUUGCACAAUGGAGGGAACUCUGGUGCAGCGACGCCGCGUGAGUGAUGAAGGAAUUCGUUUCGUAAAACUCUGUUCUAUGGGAAGAAAAGGACUGUACCAUAGGAGAAAGCUCCGGCUAAAUACGUGCCAGCAGCCGCGGUAAUACGUAUGGAGCGAGCGUUGUCCGGAAUUAUUGGGCGUAAAGGGUGCGCAGGCGGCUUUACAAGUUGGAUGUGAAAUAUUGUGGCUCAACCACAAACGUGCAUCCGAAACUGCAAAGCUUGAGUUAAGGAGAGGUAAGUGGAAUUCCUGGUGUAGCGGUGGAAUGCGUAGAUAUCAGGAGGAAUACCGGUGGCGAAGGCGACUUACUGGACUUAAACUGACGCUCAGGCACGAAAGCGUGGGGAGCAAACAGG